AAACUAGGAAAGGGGAUAACAUUUGAAAUGUAAAUAAAAUAUAAAAAAUGCCAAUUAAAAACUACAAUCUACAUAAGUCCUUUCAAGGAGUACUGAUAACUUUUUAUUCAGUCCUAUAUUCCAGUCAACUUGAUCAGGUCUUAUAUUUUUAUAUCCCUACUCAAGACUAUAACUAUAAUAUCUAUAGCACUUUGUUGUUAUUUACAUAUCUUUCCCAACCAGAUUAUAAAGUUCUUGAGGACAGGGGCACAGUUUUUGCACCUAAUAUAAUUUAUGAUAUCACAUCUAUUUUGUGCUCAGUAGUGAGUCAAAGAACUUACAGACAUAUCCAACAGAAAUUCAACAGAAUUUUAAAAGAUAUGGUGAAGAGCCAGAGAUGAUGGCACACUCCAUUAAUCCCAGCACUUGUGAGGCAGAGGGCAGAGACAGGCGGAUCUCUGGAGGCCAGCCUUAUGGAUGGAUGGAUAGAUAGAUGGAUAGAUAGAUAGAUAGAUAGAUAGAUAAAGGGAGAUGAAAGAUGAAAGGCAACUGCUGAAGCAGAGAAGCAGAUGUAUGUAUCUAUAUGUAUAUCUAUAUAUGAUGAAACGAGAGAAUUGUUUUAAAUGUUUCUGUCCUAGUGCAAUUUUUUAAAGAUUAUGAUUUAUUUAUAUUAAUAUUAAAAAAGGAAAACCUCUCCAGCUGGUUCAACUAUGAAACCAGUGCUGACCACAGCUCAAAGGGAAGAUGACUAAUGCUACAUACAUAGAAAACACUUUCAUAUAAUUUGAAAGGUGAUCCAAUAUGCACUAAGUGCUUAGGGCACAUUAGCCUUUUAAGAAAAUGUUAGAGGAUGUUAUAUAUCUACAUUUGGAAUCACUACAGUUCCUGUGGAAGUUACUCUACCCAGUUGCUUUCCCAGUUCUAUAUUGUAUAAGUAGGUCUCAUCCAAUCCCAAGCCCUUUUUUUGUUUGUUUGGUUUUUGCUUUUUGUUUUUCGAGACAGGGUUUCUCUGUGUAGCCCUGGCUGUCCUGGAACUCACUCUGUAGACCAGGCUGGCCUUGAACUCAGAAAUCUGCCUGCUUCUGCCUCCCAAGUGCUAGGAUUAAAGGCGUAGGCCACCACUACCCGGCUACACUUUCCUUUUUAAAACAGGACUCACUGAACCUGGAGUUCAUCUGUUCAGGAGGCCAGCUGGGUAGCCAGCAAGCCCCAAGGAUCACUCUCUCUCUCCCUCCACAGUGUUGAUUAGAUAGGCACACAGUGCUAUGCCAACUUUUUACAUGUGCACUGGAGAAUUCAAGCUCCAGUCCUCAUUGUCCAUGUUUGGCAAGCACUUUAGGACUGCUCUGUCUCCCUGCCUUUCCAAAAGGGUGUGGGUUAAGGCUUUAAUUGUUUCCUCCUCCUCCUCUUCCUUUUUGUACUCCAUAUUAACAUGAAAAUCUAUAGCAUUCUGCCUCCUCUUUUGUUUAUGGAAUACCCUCUUAGGUACCUUGGUCCCUAAAGCUAGUAGAAUUCUAAGAUCAGAUCAUAGAAGUGGGAUGUGUGGACUAUAAUUGACGAAUUGACAGUAUGUAUCAUUUUAAAACCUGAUAAUAUGCUAAUAGUAUCUGUAUCACAAAAGCAGUCAGCCAGAUUCAGAAUAUGAGAAAUUGUAUUUAAUGAGUAGAUUCUCCAAAACAUGAAUGGCACAGUGUAGAAGAAUGAUUUAUAGAUUAAAAAGAGCCAUGGCAAUCAAAUGCAGCAUGUAGGUUUGGCGCCUACAGUGGACAGAACAACUAUAAAAAGACACUUGUGAGAUAAUGAGAACUGGGUAGUUAGUGUACAUCUGUAGUCCCAGUAUUCAACGUAGCAAGAUAGAGGGAUCAGUUAUACCUACUAACCUAGACAGCAUAAUGAGACACUGCCUCAAAAACAAAUGAGAGUCACAGUAAUUGAGGGAAUUUGAAAUACAUGGCUUUAAAAAACAUUAAAGAAAUUCUAAUUUUCUUAGAUCUACUUAAGAUAUUGUUGUUAUGAGAAGCCCUCAGGUAAAGAUAACCUGUUGGAGUAUUUACAGGUGAGAUGAAAUGGUCUGGAUUUCACACACACACACACACACACACAC
RNAcentral lists this long non-coding RNA (2083 nucleotides) under Mus musculus (house mouse). RNAcentral's name for it is "long non-coding RNA chr2:112268980-112271063". The record is from RNAcentral. Lineage: Eukaryota; Metazoa; Chordata; Mammalia; Rodentia; Muridae.